UACAGAGGUCCCGAGCGUUGUUCGGAUUCACUGGGCGUAAAGGGUGCGUAGGUGGCGAGGUAAGUUUGAUGUGAAAUCUCCGGGCUUAACCCGGAAACUGCAUUGAAUACUAUCUUGCUUGAGGGUUGGAGGGGGGACUGGAAUUCUCGGUGUAGCAGUGAAAUGCGUAGAUAUCGAGAGGAACACCAGUGGCGAAGGCGAGUCCCUGGACAACUCCUGACACUGAGGCACGAAAGCUAGGGGAGCAAACAGG
Molecule: ribosomal RNA, 253 nt
Filed under: uncultured bacterium
Lineage: Bacteria
Description: partial 16S ribosomal RNA
Rfam family: Bacterial small subunit ribosomal RNA
Source: RNAcentral